RNAcentral lists this ribosomal RNA (359 nucleotides) under Marinomonas sp. RNAcentral describes it as "bacterial SSU rRNA". It matches the Rfam family "Bacterial small subunit ribosomal RNA", at positions 351 to 702 of the family's 1533-position model. Lineage: Bacteria; Pseudomonadati; Pseudomonadota; Gammaproteobacteria; Oceanospirillales; Oceanospirillaceae. The record is from RNAcentral.
GCAGUGGGGAAUAUUGGACAAUGGGGGCAACCCUGAUCCAGCCAUACCGCGUGUGUGAAGAAGGCCUUAGGGUUGUAAAGCACUUUCAGGAGGGAGGAAAGGUUUGUGGUUAAUACCCGUAAGCUGUGACGUUACCUUCAGAAGAAGCACCGGCUAACUCUGUGCCAGCAGCCGCGGUAAUACAGAGGGUGCGAGCGUUAAUCGGAAUUACUGGGCGUAAAGCGCGCGUAGGUGGUUUGUUAAGUCGGAUGUGAAACCCCCGGGCUCAACCUGGGACUUGCACCCGAUACUGGCAGGCUAGAGUACGAUAGAGGAGUGUGGAAUUUCCUGUGUAGCGGUGAAAUGCGUAGAUAUAGGAA